CAGUAGCCGCGGGAAUACGUAGGGUGCAAGCGUUAAUCGGAAUUACUGGGCGUAAAGCGUGCGCAGGCGGUUAUAUAAGACAGAUGUGAAAUCCCCGGGCUCAACCUGGGAACUGCAUUUGUGACUGUAUAGCUAGAGUACGGCAGAGGGGGAUGGAAUUCCGCGUGUAGCAGUGAAAUGCGUAGAUAUGCGGAGGAACACCGAUGGCGAAGGCAAUCCCCUGGGCCUGUACUGACGCUCAUGCACGAAAGCGUGGGGAGCAAACAGGAUUAGAUACCCGUGUAGUCCCUGUCUCUUAUAA
Molecule: ribosomal RNA, 301 nt
Filed under: uncultured bacterium
Lineage: Bacteria
Description: partial 16S ribosomal RNA
Rfam family: Bacterial small subunit ribosomal RNA
Source: RNAcentral